This 391-nucleotide unclassified non-coding RNA is filed under the name soil metagenome. RNAcentral describes it as "partial contains 5.8S ribosomal RNA, internal transcribed spacer 2, and large subunit ribosomal RNA". The stretch from base 1 to 122 matches the Rfam family "5.8S ribosomal RNA", at positions 35 to 154 of the family's 154-position model. The record is from RNAcentral.
GAUGAAGAACGUAGCGAAAUGCGAUACUUGGUGUGAAUUGCAGAAUCCCGUGAACCAUCGAGUCUUUGAACGCAAGUUGCGCCCGAAGCCACUAGGCCGAGGGCACGCCUGCCUGGGCGUCACACGCCGUUGCCCCCCCAUCUACUCCUUCGGGAUUGCGGGGGGGCGGAUGAUGGCCUCCCGUGCGCCUAGCCGCGCGGUUGGCAUAAAUACCAAGUCCUCGGCGACGCACGCCACGACAAUCGGUGGUUGCGAAACCUCGGUUGCCCGUCGUGUGCGUUCGUCGCGCAUCGAGGGCUCGAAAAAAUGCUCGGCUCCGGCUGGGCUUUCAACGCGACCCCAGGUCAGGCGGGGUUACCCGCUGAAUUUAAGCAUUUCAAUAAGCGGAGGA